ACCGGCGCACGGGUGAGUAACGCGUAUCCAACCUGCCCAUGUCUGGGGAAUAACCCGUCGAAAGGCGGACUAACUCCCCAUGGACAUGGAUGGGGAUGCGUCUGAUUAGGUAGUAGGCGGGGUAACGGCCCACCUAGCCUACGAUCAGUAGGGGUUCUGAGAGGAAGGUCCCCCACAUUGGAACUGAGACACGGUCCAAACUCCUACGGGAGGCAGCAGUGAGGAAUAUUGGUCAAUGGACGAGAGUCUGAACCAGCCAAGUAGCGUGCAGGAUGACGGCCUAUGGGUUGUAAACUGCUUUUGCGCGGGGAUAGGUACCGCGCGAAUAAGGACCGGCUAAUUCCGUGCCAGCAGCCGCGGUAAUACGGAAGGUCCGGGCGUUAUCCGGAUUUAUUGGGUUUAAAGGGAGCGUAGGCCGGAGAUUAAGCGUGUUGUGAAAUGUAGACGCUCAACGUCUGCACUGCAGCGCGAACUGUUUUCCUUGAGCACGCACAAAGUGGGCGGAAUUCGUGGUGUAGC
This 519-nucleotide ribosomal RNA is filed under the name uncultured bacterium. Its description in RNAcentral is "bacterial SSU rRNA". It matches the Rfam family "Bacterial small subunit ribosomal RNA", at positions 94 to 679 of the family's 1533-position model. The record is from RNAcentral.